CUCAGAAUGAGCGCUGGCGGCAUGGCUAAGACAUGCAAGUCGAACGGACCAUAUAAUUGGGUAACCGAAAGUAUGGUUAGUGGCGAAAGGGUGAGGAAUAGAUAUGAACGUACCCUGUGCUCUGGGAUAGCGUCUGAAGCUUCGGCUUCUUCCGAAAGGGGCGGUAAUACCAGAUAAUGUCCUUCGGGACCAAAGAUUUAUCGGCAUUGGAGCGGCCUAUCUCCUAUCAGCUUGUUGGUGAGGUAACGGCUCACCAAGGCAACGACGGGUAUCGGGACUGAUAGGUUGGCCCGCCACAUCGGGACUGAGACACUGCCCGGACCUCCACGGAGGGCUGCAGUAACGGAUAUUGGGCAAUGGGCUGAAAGCCUGACCCAGCAAUGCCGCGUGCACGAUGAACCCCCUAGGGGUGUAAACUGCUGUCAGGGGUCAGAAAGCUGGUUUCGGCCAGUUGAUCAACCCCAGAGGAAGUCACGGCUAACUUCGUGCCAGCAGCCGCGGUAAUACGAAGGUGGCAAGCGUUAUUCGGAAUCAUUGGGCUUAAAGGUGCACUAAGGCGGAACAGUGUGUGUCGUGUGAAAUCCCCCGGCUUAACCGGGGAAUUGCACAGCAAACUGCUGUUCUUGAGGCAGGUAGGGGUGCAUGGAACUCUUGGUGGAGCGGUGGAAUGCGUCGAUAUCAGGAGGAACGCCAGAGGUGAAGACGGUGCACUGGGCCUGUCCUGACGCUGAGGUGCGAAAGCGUGGGGAGCGAACGGGAUCUAGAUACGCC
Molecule: ribosomal RNA, 771 nt
Filed under: uncultured organism
Description: bacterial SSU rRNA
Rfam family: Bacterial small subunit ribosomal RNA
Source: RNAcentral